AAGCUCCAUAUACGAUUAGACUCCAACAAUUUCACACUUGUACGCAACAGCGAGGAGAGGACAUGCGAACAUUUGCAGUUUGAUUGCAGUCUCUUGCAGCAGAGAUGACAAUAAGUGUAAACGCCACCAACAAUCAGGAAAGGAAAGUGGUAGAGAUGUGUCAGAGGAAGGAAAUGGAUGAAUGUUUGAGAGUACAAUUUCUCAACGGCAUUAAUGACAAAAUUAAGUGUAAUGUAAUGUCGCACGAUCCAAAGACGUUUGAGGAAGCCUUGUUAGUCGCUUCCCGUGAGGAGUUUAUAGAUCAAGUGAUAUCUAAACCAAGGCCUUAUGUCGGGAAAAUAGGC
Molecule: long non-coding RNA, 344 nt
Filed under: Androctonus crassicauda
Lineage: Eukaryota; Metazoa; Arthropoda; Arachnida; Scorpiones; Buthidae
Source: RNAcentral